CCUACGGGGGACAGCAGUGAGGAAUAUUGGUCAAUGGACGAGAGUCUGAACCAGCCAAGUAGCGUGAAGGAUGACUGCCCUAUGGGUUGUAAACUUCUUUUAUAAAGGAAUAAAACGAGGCACGUGUGCCUUUUUGCAUGUACUUUAUGAAUAAGGAUCGGCUAACUCCGUGCCAGCAGCCGCGGUAAUACGGAGGAUCCGAGCGUUAUCCGGAUUUAUUGGGUUUAAAGGGAGCGUAGAUGGGUUGUUAAGUCAGUUGUGAAAGUUUGCGGCUCAACCGUAAAAUUGCAAUUGAUACUGGAAGUCUUGAGUACAGUUGAGGUAGGCGGAAUGCGUGGUGUAGCGGUGAAAUGCUUAGAUAUCACGAAGAACCCCGAUUGCGAAGGCAGCUUACUAAACUGUGACUGACAUUGAUGCUCGAAAGUGUGGGUAUCAAACAGGAUUAGAUACCCCAGUAGUC
Molecule: ribosomal RNA, 460 nt
Filed under: uncultured bacterium
Lineage: Bacteria
Description: partial 16S ribosomal RNA
Rfam family: Bacterial small subunit ribosomal RNA
Source: RNAcentral